GAUGGCUCCUAUCGAAGCCGGUCAUGCUCUUCUUAUAGCAGUGAUUGGUCAAAAGGAAGCCAAGAUGAAAACUUUUACCGACGGUCGCUGUACAGUUCACGAUAACUGUAAUGGCAACAUUUAGGAAAAGGACACUC
This is a small nucleolar RNA of Synchiropus splendidus (mandarinfish), 137 nucleotides long. The record is from RefSeq and is a predicted model, not a curated record. NCBI's taxonomy places the organism in Eukaryota, Metazoa, Chordata, Actinopteri, Syngnathiformes, Callionymidae.